GAUGAACGCUGGCGGCGUGCCUAAUACAUGCAAGUCGAGCGAACAGAUGAGGAGCUUGCUCCUCUGACGUUAGCGGCGGACGGGUGAGUAACACGUGGAUAACCUACCUAUAAGACUGGGAUAACUUCGGGAAACCGGAGCUAAUACCGGAUAAUAUAUUGAACCGCAUGGUUCAAUAGUGAAAGACGGUUUUGCUGUCACUUAUAGAUGGAUCCGCGCCGCAUUAGCUAGUUGGUAAGGUAACGGCUUACCAAGGCAACGAUGCGUAGCCGACCUGAGAGGGUGAUCGGCCGCACUGGGACUGUGACACGGUCCAGAGUCCUACGGGUGGCAGCAGUAGGGAAUCUUCCGCAAUGGGCGAAAGCCUGACGGCGCAACGCCGCGUGAGUGAUGAAGGUCUUCGGGUCGUAAAACUCUGUUAUUAGGGAAGAACACAUGUGUAAGUAACUAUGCACGUCUUGACGGUACCUAAUCAGAAAGCCACGGCUAACUACGUG
Molecule: ribosomal RNA, 497 nt
Filed under: uncultured bacterium
Lineage: Bacteria
Description: partial 16S ribosomal RNA
Rfam family: Bacterial small subunit ribosomal RNA
Source: RNAcentral